Aethalodelphis obliquidens (Pacific white-sided dolphin) is the source of this 2064-nucleotide long non-coding RNA. RefSeq lists it as uncharacterized. The transcript is spliced from 3 exons. The record is from RefSeq and is a predicted model, not a curated record. NCBI's taxonomy places the organism in Eukaryota, Metazoa, Chordata, Mammalia, Artiodactyla, Delphinidae.
AAUGAGAUCUGAGCAGAGGAAUAACACAAUGAGUAAUAUUUAGGAAGCUCACUCACUUAUUCACUUACCGCAAAUUAAACAUUAAAGGAGCCUCACUGUGUGUUAGGGGUUGCAUAAGGUGCUUGAAGUACAAAUGAAUAAACAUGGCGCCUGCUCUUAAGGAACUGAAAUCUAAGCACAAGUAACCUACAGGGGAAGCCUGGGAGAAAAAUCUGGAGCAACCAGAAGUCUUGUUGCCAGACUCAUUCUUGAGAUUUCCCUGUUUUACUCUAUAAUACUGGGAUCAACAUUCAUUAGCUCAGAAGGAUCUAGAUGAAGGCCUGCUGGCAAGCAUCAGUAUAAGAUAGAAAAGGCCAUGUGAGGACAGUGAGAAGCUGUUGUCUGCAAGUGAAGGAGUCUCACAAGAAACCAACCCUGUUGGCAGCUUGAUUGUGGACUUCCAGACUCCAGCACUGUGAGAAAAUACAUUUCUGUGGUUUAAGCCCCCAGUCCCCCAGUCUGUGGCAUACAGUUAAGGCAGCCUGAGCUGACCAGUACAGGGUUGAACUGGGGAGACAUGGUGCAUUUUCUGUAGCAGACACUGCCAUGAAAGGUCACUAUCAAUCCCUCUAGGGUACUUGGUGCUGCAGAUCAUCUCUAACUUUGUGUGACAAAAACAGAGCAGCAGGAAAGUGAAUCUUUGGCUGUGGACUAGAGACUGAUAUUAACAAUUUUUUCCCCAAAAAGCAACCAAGAGAACAUCCAGGUAUUUUUAAACAAAUGUCCUCUAUAAGGAGGGCUUUUAAAAAUUUCUCCUGCAAUCCUACUUUUCCUACACAAACUGCUGGGAUGUGGUGGUGACCCAAGGGAAGGUGAUGUUAGAGGAAAGAGCAAAAGAAGGAUUACUGGGAGUCUGAGAAUGUGUCUGUAUGUGUCAGGACCCACAGGGUUUUAUAGGCUCACGAAUCAAGCCUGUGGCAUCCUGAUUUUGAUUUAAGAUUAUCCACUGGGGAGAAAAUUUUGUGUUGAACUUUACUUAAACCUUCCUGAGCAAAGAGAUCCUUUAGCUAUGCACUGUGAGUUUCCCUACACAGCAGCACAGGACACUUGGGGGAUGGAUGUUUCACAUAAUUUACUGUGUGCUUUGACUGGACACACUUCACUGCUCUCUGCACAGCACAGCAGUAUUUAGAAAGGUGCUGCUGGCAGUUUGGACUUCUGUUUUCUAUUGGUUGCUGCUCCAUAUUUAUUCUGGGAAUUAAGAUAGAAAGAAAAUCAGAGAAUUAUGAUGAAAAAAAAAUAAAGAUAAGCUGACUCACAGACAGUGAAUCCUCAAACCAAAAGUUAGUGGGAAAUUUCAAAGCUGAGUCUUACUUUCACAGCUGCUGUAAGUUUUUAACUUCUGCUGUGUAUUUCCUCACCUAAUUUAUUUCAUCACCUUGGUCAAAUUGUGCAUGUGUGUUUGUGAUGGAGCUGUCCUCUAUAAUGAUGUUGGUGAGGUAAUGCUAUUAUGAGAAUAAUUCUUAUUUAGAUUUGCAUUGUGUAUAAUUUUCAGAGUGCUUUCCCGUCUUCUGUUUGAUUUGAUUUACACAUUGGCUAUAACAGGUUUCAAGUUAAUGCAAGGUCAGGAAUUGUUUUAUAUCAUUCACCUUCUACUGUUACACAGACCGGCACUUUCCACAUUUAUUCACCAAUGAUUCAUUCAAUGGUUAUGGUAGGAUUUAGAGAAAUAAAAGUUCUGGGCAUUUUUCUGAUAGAAGACCAAACAUAUUCCAAAGAUAACGUUUUUAUAAACAUCUGACCUGAAGGGAACUCAGAUAACUAAGAGCACAUGGUUAAUACUGGUUCUUUUGUUUCAUGAUUUUAUCUGUUUAAUUUUGCUUUAAACUUUGUCUUUGGUUGAGUUUAAUCUCUCUUAGAACAACUGAAUGUUAUCCAUAAGACUCAGGUAACACAAGGAUGUUUGAUCUCUUGUCAAUUAGAAAUUCUCAGAAAAUUAGGACCUAUGUAAUUAUUUCAUGUAAUGUAUAAUUGGGAAAUAUGGACAAAAAGAAAAAUUAGCAAAUGGAAUCCAACACCACAUUA